This 498-nucleotide ribosomal RNA is filed under the name uncultured bacterium. RNAcentral describes it as "partial 16S ribosomal RNA". It matches the Rfam family "Bacterial small subunit ribosomal RNA", at positions 29 to 507 of the family's 1533-position model. The record is from RNAcentral.
AGCGAACGCUGGCGGCGUGCCUAACACAUGCAAGUCGAACGUGAAAAGGGAAACCUGAGUACAGUGGCGUACGGGUGAGUAACGCGUAGGUCAUCUACCCCAGAAUCUGGAAUAACCUGCCGAAAGGCGGGCUAAUACUGGAUAGAGCGAGGGAACUCGUAAGAGAGUUUUUCGGGAAAGGGAGCCCGCAAGGGCCUUUGUUCUGGGAUGAGCCUGCGUCUCAUUAGCUAGUUGGUAAGGUAACGGCUUACCAAGGCGAUGAUGAGUAGCUGGUCUGAGAGGAGGAACCGCCACACUGGAACUGGAACACGGUCCAGAAUCCUACGGGAGGGAGCCGGGGGGAAUCCUGCGGAAUGGACGAAAGUCCGAAGCAGGCACGCCGCGGGAGUGGAGAAGGCCUUCGGGUUGUAAAGCUCCGUCGGAUGGGACGAACAUAAUCAUAGUGAAUAGCUAUGAGGACUGACGGUACCAAAAAAGGAAGCACCGGCUAACUACGUG